UCUGCCCCACUUGGGCAGAGUUCUCACUCCAUCAGAAACAGUCCUGGAUAUGAUAGUGGACUGGCCGACAAGAAUCCGCAGUCGCUUUUUCAGAGGAGACGGGACCAGUCCUCUCCUCAGAGGCUUUACCUGGUGCCAGGCCUGGCCCUGCCCCCAGCCCAUCAGGGGCUCAGCCUGGCCUCCACCCAGUGAGAAAGAUCCUUGCCCAGGACAGGACGGGACAGUGCCAAGGAUUCCAGGCCCCUGCUCCAGCCCCGCCUUCUGCCCUGCAGGCCACGAUGACCUGACUUGUCCUCUUGAAGCAGAUGGAAUCCGGCAGGGACAGAUUGCCUGUGGUGGAGGGCAGAAUUAGCUCCGAGACAGCCUCUUGCAGCCCAGUGACACAGUAGGCACACCCGGCCCUGUCCUCCAACCCCCCUGCUGCACGUUGUCAUCCAGACUGGCUCCGUCAGUGUUUAAGCCUCAGUGUAGUAGUCCACAAAAUGGGCAGGGAUACCUGCUGGUGGAGAUCCAGGCCUGUAAGUGACCCCCUGAAUACCUGUAGCUCAGAGGAAAGACCCAGGGAGCCAUACAGUCUUUGGAAACUGCAGGUUCCCUGAGGUGGCAGACCGUGUUAAUUCGCUGGGUCCAGAGUGUGGCCCCUGUCCCAGCUCUCGCUAGCCUCCCCUCAGCCAGCCUCAGCAGGCUCAGCAUCUGCUCUCUGUUACUCAGAGCCAUCCAGUUGGAGUCUGUGCAUGGUGGUGAUAACUCAGGAGGGUAGGCUGAGAAAUGGGUGAAGCUGUGAUGCUUUCUCUCAUGAUAGGGUGUGCAAGAGGCCUCGUCGGUUGGGAUGACCUAGCCACUUGGAGGCCUGGACCUGCUAUACAUCACUUAGGCUUCAGCUUCUUCUUGGACAGUUUUCCCAGGUGACUCUUGAAGCUCAAGGAUCAUGUCCAACCCAGGUCAGUGGCAGUGUUUUGGCUGUUUAUGGAAUUCAGGGCCACCUACCCCAACUCUCCUGGAUGAUAUUGCUGUGGGUCCAUGCAGCCAUGCAGACCUGGAGGUUUGCAUAUGCUGGGUCUUGGCUGGGCCGUCUCAACUCCUGUCAGCCUCUUUCUGGGACUCUAGGAUGUCUGGACAUAUCCAGGCAUACCCAGGACACUAGAGUGGGCCAUCUUUCUGCCCCAGCUAUCAAGAGGGAGAUAGAACAGUGAGAUGACCCCAGGACUGUGAAUUACCUGCAGCAUCACUCAGGACUCAGUGGUGAAGGUCCUUGCUUCCUCUGCCACGGAUACCUUGCAGUUAGUUAUAACUGGGAACCUGUGUACUUGGGGUCUCUUGUGCGCAGAGGUGGCGGCCAGCCUGGAAGCUGUGCUCACCCUUGUCCCCUCCGGCAAGGAGCCAGAUGCUUUGGACCCACCUAGAUGAAUCUAGAUCCAAGGCAUUGGUGUGGCCAUAGUCAGAGGCAGUCUCAUCUCCCAGGGUGCAGGCAGGGCCCCACGCCAUCUUGUAUAAGCCAAAACACCCUGUAUUUGGGCCUGAGACCCCUCUGCUAUCUGUGCAUUGGUGUGUAUGGGCUGACACACACACACUACCCUGGUCUCUGUGUCUGCACCUGGGGUCAGGGAUGCUAGCCAGUGCCUGAGAGUAGGCACUGAAUAGACAGUUUGGGGUAGGGCGGGAGACCUCCAGACCUCGGAAGAUGGGACAGGACAGAGCGGGAAAGCACAGGCAGAGAUGGAAGAGAGACUGAGCAGAACACCUGGACAUACCUCAGGAGUGCAGUUGGCCCAGGUAUCCCGGGGGACCUAGGAGCUCUUGGCCAAGGGGCUCUGAUUUACAGAUCCUGGGCUUUCCUAAGUACCCACCCUAAGCCAGACCUGCCUAUGAUACCCCAUCUCAGCUAUAGGCAGAUUGUGUACACACAAUCCCCCAGUGUCCCAUGGACAUAGAUGGGGUGCACCUUUUACAAGGGCUCAGUCCCGGAAUGUGCCCCCAAGUCCUGAGUGCUAAUGUAUGUGGGAGACUGUGGGUGUAGGGCUCCAGGAGCAAAGAUGGGAGUCUCAGAGGGUCCUGGGCCAAGACCUGUGAGGAAGAGUCCAGAAUUGAAAAGGAUGGGCUGGGCUGGGGAGAGUGGCCAGUCCUGGUCCAUGACCCAGCCCCUACUUAGCACCAGGCACACAAGAUGCACUGGAUGUAUGCAGUGGGUGCUUACUCAGUGCAAGUGUUAGUGAGGGUUAAUUUCAGAGACACCCCCUCCAUACACAAUAUGGGGCUUACCAUCCCAUUCUCCUUUCCAGGGGCCUCUAUGGGUAGAGAGAGCUAGCCUCACCUCACCUGUGGCCUGGGGACACUGGGCCUUGAGGUCUUUGAGGCACCUGCUUAGACUAGGGGGCUGUGGCAAGUUUGGGGCUCUAGGAUUCAGUUGGCAAGGUUGGAAUUGCACCCCGAGAAAUCUGCCAGACUGGAUCUGGGCCUGGGAGGUCUGAGCACAGGCAAGUCCCUGGCCUUGUGCUCUCUCCAUGCUUGUCUAGCCAGCCAUGACCCGCACCGUGCUUAGAGUGUUGGCCCCGGCAAGUAGCCAAGCAUAGCCAACCACUGGCCUAGCAAGUGGUGGCCACAUGGCCUUGCUCAGUCUCUGAGGGAAACUGAGGCUUGGGGGCGGUGGGCUGGACAGCCAAGGUAGAUGCACACUGGAAGUUAUAGAUGGGGCUUCCAGAUUCCCAAGGUCUGGCACUCCCAGCCUAGAGACCAGCUGCCCCCAGGGUCGUCUGGAGGGUGAGAAAGGACACAGAUUUAUGUAAUAGCUGGAUACUGUUGUGUUUUUUAAAAUAAGGUCUCUAGCCUAGAUUUGAACUCUCGAUCCUCUGCCUUCGCCUCUGGAGUGCUUGGAUUAUAGGUGUGAGCCACUACAGCCCGUUUAUAUAGUGCUGGGGGCUGAACCUAGGAUUUGAGACUUGCUGGGCAGGUACUCCACCGUCUGAGCUCCAACUCUAGAUCUCUUAAAAAAAAUUUAAAAGAAUUCUUAGCCGGGCAAAGGUGGCACACACUUUUAAUCCCAGCACUUGAAAGGCAGACGCAGGUGGAUCUCUGUAAGUUCGAGGCCAGCCUGGUCUACAAAGGGAGUUCCAGGACAGCCGAGACUACACCGAGAAACCCUGUCUCGGGGGGAAAAAAAGGAUUUUUAAAAAAUCAGUGUGUAUCAGUGUUUUGCCUCCAUACGUGUCUGUGUGCCAUGUUUGUGCCUGGUGCCCGUAGAGCCUAGAGGAGGGCACUGGGUCUCCUGGAACUGGAGUUCCAGAUGGUUGUGAACCACCGCGUGAUGCUAGGGAUAGAACCGGAGUCCUCUGGAAGAGCACAGAGCGCUUUUAACUGCCGAGCCAUUGCUCCAGCGCCAGGAUGCUCUUUAUCCAGUCUUACAAAUACCUUGCAUUUGCUCGUUGGCCCCAGUGCAGUUACUGACCCACACAGACCCAGCCUUGGUCUAGCACCAGCUCGUGUCUCCCUGUGGCGCUCCAGCCUCCAGCUCCCAAGGACCCCCUGCCAGCCAGGCUGAGUGAGAAUGAUUCUGGAGAAAUGUUCCUGGGAAGCUAAAAGACCCCUGGGAAGGCACCGUUGGCCUUCUGGGGUGUGCAGCUUCCUGGAGCUCUCUCAGAGACGCUCUGAUCCCUCGGAACAACUCUGUGACCCCUCACAAUGUCGCUGAGUUUUGUAUUCCCUCGUUCCUAAAACAGGGGAGGAUGAAAACUCCCAUGCUGCUGUGUGACUGGGGAGGGGGGUGAGGGUGGAGAGCAAAAUCCCAACGUUUCUGUGCUCCACCCUCUAGCCAAGGACCACGUUGUCACGAGGACAAAGUGAACCCUACUUCCGAGCGACUUAGCAGUGCCCGGCACAUUGAAGGUACAAAAUGCUCACACUUGCUGGGCCUUGUGGCAAAGGCCUGUGAUCCUAGUGACUUGGGAAGUCGUUGAGGCCGGCCUGAGCUGUAGAGAGUGGAUCCACGUUCAGACUGGGACACUUAGCGAGGCCCUCAAGAUAAGACUUUCAAAGGGUUAGAGAUGUCACUUAGUGGUAGAGGCCUGGGUUCAGUCCCCAGUACCACCAACACCCCUCCCCCCAAAUUGUAUUCAUACCUAUGGGUCCUUAGUGUGUACCCAGCACUGACUCAUGAGUUUACAGCAAGGGGACUUGAAGCCAGAACCCUGUGGCUUCCCACUGAGGAGAGGCCCUUAGUGCUGGGAAAAAAAAAAAAAAAAGAGGCCGCUGUGCUAUUACCGCCCCAGAGUUCUCAGGACUGCUAUGGUUGUACAGGUGAUGAGUGGGGGUCUACCCUUGCCAUGUCGCCGUGGCAGUUUCACCCUGCCAAGACGAUGCGGACUCCUCUCAGUUCCACUCCUGUUCUGUUUGUUUGUUUUUGUCUUGUCACAGGCCCCGCCCUGGAUUCAUGUCGACUGGUCCCUGUCAGAGGCCCGAGCCCUUGGCUGUGUGAGUUGCAUCUCUCCCAUGACCCAGCCACCCUGCCAGGUGGCUUCUGUGACUAGUAUCCCUGCCCCCUGGGCCUCAGACUAGCUACCCGUGAAGUGGGGUUGUACGCCACACAGAUUUUUUGCUCUGCGUAGGUCAGAGGGAGACAGCCCGAGGUGGGACCAGUACCCGCUAGAGCCGUCCUCUCCGCCUCUGCUUUAUAACUGGAUUCUGAAUAAAAGAGAAACGGGGGUGGUGAGGAGACACAAAGGAGCCCCUCCAACACCUAGAUCCAUUCCUCCGUGGGGCUCUGGCUGAUCACUGAGUGCCCACUGCCCUCUGCCUAGAGAGGCUUGGCGACCCGCCGUGGUGACGGGGCAGUGGGACCCCUGGCCACAGGCCAGAAAGGGGGAUGUGCGUAGAUGUUGGUCGCUUGUUUAAGAAGCAGCUGGAACAAGACAAGGAAGCAAGGGCUGUCCCUCGCUGGAUCCACAGAAAGUGGGGAAUAGGGCGUGGCCAUACGCUCCUGAAGGAAGUCCCCCUGGCAUUCUGUUGAUGGCCACUUUGGCAACUGACCCCUUGACCUGUGGGCCCCAGACGGGAAGGAGCUAUCUAGCCCACUAGUUCUUGGAGCACAGGAUGGCACUUGAGCCCCCUGGCUUGGGGCCUCCCCAACCUGGGCAGAUAAGGACAUGUCCUGCAGAGACCCUAGGGCAGAGAAUUGUAACCCAGAAGAGCUCAGGCCCGGGACGCCUCACGGCUCGUGGGACCAACUGUCACCAUAAAGUGGGAGAACCUCGGUGCUUUUUAACAGGCACACCACCCGGAGCCCCUUGAAGGGAAGUAUGGAAGUCUCUGGAAGCCCUGAGUAUGCUUGGAGCUUGGGCGGGAGGAAGGCUCUGGAAGGAGCCUUGUCUCAUUAGGUGAUUGUCCCUCCUCCCUGCCAGGCAUCCACUGGUCCCACCCUCUGGCUUUCACGGCCUUUGUCUUCCAAGGGUGCCACAAAAUGGCCGACACAGCCCUCCGCCAUUUUGUAGCUGAAACGAGCAGUAGCCUUGGAGAGGAGGAGACCCCUGCUUCCUGCCUGCCCCGAGUGGCCUGGACAGAGCCCAGGACCAGCCCCCACCCUGCUUGGCUUUGGCCAUGGCCGCCCCGGGCUUGGCACAGCCAGCUGCUUGGCAAGGCAGCCUGGGAGUCCUGGCCUCUUACCCAGAUCCACUGAUUCCUUGCUACCCACCAAGCAAACGAGAAGGAGGCUGCACACAUCAGAAUCCGGAAAACCCGCCACUAACGCUGUACUUUUAGAGGGAGUCCUUGUCAGGGGUGGGGCCAGCAUGGGUGGUUCUAGGAAUGAUGUCUGCACUGUGGUACCGGGUUCCUAAGUGGAGCCAUCAACAAGCAUAGGUUUGAGUUAGGUCCCCCCGAGAGGAAAGCCUCCUGCCUCCACAUGCCCUGCCCAGGGACCUUGGUACUCCCUGGCUGAGUAUGGUACAGAAUGCUAGGAUUUCACAAUGGCCAGACCGUCUCCUGGCCUGGGUUGCCUAUGAUGUUGUUAAGUAGUCCAGGUGCUUGCUAGAGGAGGCUGCUUUGCUCCAAGAGCAAGGCCAUCCACCAGACCGCUGAGGCUCUGAGCUACGUGAAGCUCCCCCCGCCAACACUGUUCCUCUGCCUUCCCAGAGAUCAGAAGCAGCACGUCCCAGAGUGAUGCCAUAAUGAUGCCAUCCAGGCCCCCAGCACCCCCAGCACCCCUGAGUCAUCAUUAUACUGACAGUGCAUUCCAGCUUCCCAAGGUAGGACAGACAGGGCAAGCUCUGGGAGCUGGGAGUGGCCAGACCGCCCCGCCACCUCUGUGAUGGGGGUCCAUUAAAGAAGCUACGAGGUAGUCUCCCGUGAAGUAGGGAAGAGGGUAUGGCAUAAAAUGCCUUUGAAUCUUCCUGGGCAGCGUGGGGGUUGCUCCAUGGCCCUGCCUGGCCCUGUACUCUCUGCCAGGAUAGCAAGAAGCUAUGUGUAGACAGCAGGGCCUUGCUGUCUCAUCGAGGAAGCUAGCUGGAUGCCGGCCGGCCGGCCCCAGACUUCUUUCCCACAGCUCCCAGGAGGAACAUUCUGUCACCCUGAAGUGAGGCUUGUUCAGGCCAUGCCCUCCUUCAAGGGAGCUCCGACAGAAUGUCCCAGCGCUCACCUGCCCAGACCAGUGCCUUCUCAUGUGCCAGGCCACGAUAGAACCUCCCGGGGUCCUGGGGUAUAGGCUUCCUAGAACAAGAAAAUUUUCCCAAGGGAGGCCAGGCUCAGAGGGAGUUGGCAGAGGGGGGCCGUCAAAGAGCAGUCAGAGUACAUGCUUCACGAUGUGGCACCUGUAGUCAGUUCCCACGCACCUUCCUAUGACCCGGACAGUGCUUGAGUGGAGAAUACCUGCUGCUCAAAGCUGGUCACCUGUAGCCGAAAUGUCCAGCCCCAGGCUGAGUCCAGGGAGCAGGAGGCCCCACACAAUGGCCUUUCCCCCAAUGUACAGCAGGCCAUCUGUGCUUUGCCCUAGGCAUAAGCCAGCAGCUUCCUUAUGCCUCCGGCUGCUGUCCAUACCACAGAGCUAUCUCACUGGCUCUCCAGAAAAGGUACAGAGCCAGCUGACCUUCGCCUCGGACCCUGUUUCUAGAUGGAGAGAGCUAGGCUCAGAUCUGGGCCUCCCCAGCCAGCUCUAGACCCUGAGUCUCCCCUUGUCUCUCGUGAGUUCUGUGAGUCACAGCAUUCAUCACCUUUGUUCUAGGGGUGGGUGUGCCACCAGGGUACCACAGGUCUCGAGUCUACCCAAAGCCCAGUGCAGGUCAGAUCCGUCUUGGGAUCAGCAUGAGGUGUGUAGGGCUGGAGAGAGCCAGGCCCGGGGCAUUUAGAUGCUAGCUCCAGGUUUGACCUUGCAUCCCUGGGGUACACUUUUGGAAGAGGGUAUUCAAGACUGUGGGGCGCUUCCCCACACACCCGCCAGAGCAGUCCAGUCUGGAGCCAGGGGACACUGAGCAAACCUGGGUCAUCUUCGCUCAGAUAGGAUCUUGUAAUGUGUUUGCAUUCAUCACGUCUCUAAACUUCACACACAAGCGUUUCUCGUCUUGGUGACUGAGAUUUUGGUCACCCCCAACAUGCCUGUCUUAGCCAGACCCAAGAUGGUCCUCAGUGGGCAUGGCCUGCCUCUGGGCACACUGACCCAGGCCUAGUCAGUGAGCAUUCAUCUUGUUAACUUUAUGGGCCGUGUUCACAAGGAGGCCCGCCUUCUGCCCAGCCGGAUGCCACCCUCCCAUCGUUCCCAGACUCACUGUUGGCACGGCCUACUGAGCAGAGACACUGGUCGCUUUAUGGGAGAAACCUAAUCAGGGAGGCCAGCAUGGGGGGCGGGGGCUGCCAUGAAGGGGGGGGGGUCUGGCUCUUGGUGGCCCCAAGCCAAGCCUGAGGUGACUUCAGGGUGACACCGUCUGUCUGCCUCUCUCUCUCUCUCUCCAGACAUCCGCCCAGCUCUGAAAGGGCCACCUGCCUGCCUAGGUCUUCAGCGCACCUGUCCUGGCCAGCCUGGCUCCUCCUCCAGGCACCCUGCCCGUGGGCAGACACUGCCGGACUGGGGCAAAGCUGAGAGCUGGCAGCUGGCAGAUGGCAGGGCGUCUGCUGACUGCUCACUCCCUGGUGACCUGUUCAGGAUCGCCAUUCAUGUGCACUGCCCGCCCUGCCACUGGCCCUCCCCCAGCCUCGCCCCACCGGGUCCCUCUGGUUUGUUUCAGGACCCCUUCCCUGUUACCCCUUGAGAAAGGAGGCAUUUAUGUGGGUCCCAACCCCCCAGGGCGGAGGCCAGUGGUCAAGGCCUGGCUGUUGUACGGGUAAGACUGGCACAUCUCAACGCCCCGCAAGUACGGAACUGGGCCUUUUCCUCGCUCACUCACAAAUGGCUCUGGAGUCCAGACCAGGAAAGGGCGACCGUUCCUGAAGUCUUGUGGAACCAGUGUAAGCCCCCGGUGUAGGGCAGAGCUGCAUAAGAUCUGAGGAGACCAUGGUAGCCAUGCCUGCCACCAGAGCAUGGAGAGAUACCUGAGAGAAAUGGAUCCAAGACAGGCACCUGUGGGUCAGCCUCACUAGACUCCGAGCCCUGGGCAGAGUGAGGCCCCCUGGAGAGCAGGAGCCUUGUGGAAAGAAACAGGAAGAACAGGUCAGCGGUUCCUGGCAGAGGGACAGACCAGGGCAAAAGGCAGGAGGUGGGGAGGGCCUGGGAGAUGGCCAAGGAGGGCAGAGGAGGCUUGCCCAGGGCAUUUUGCUGCUUUGUGGGUUGGGGGAGGGGCCGAUGGGCACAGUGGGAAGGAUCAGAGAAAGUGUCUGUGUGAUGGAUAGCUUGGCUGUCUCGGGGGUGCAGCCAAGGCUGGUAGUCAGGGAGAGGGCUUUCCCACCCCUGUGUCCUCACCAGACCCUCAAUAGCCAAUGGCCUCAUCUUCCUUUCCUUGAGCUGUGCGGGAAUAACAAGGCUUCUAACAAACCACCCUGGCUUGAUGGACAGAACCGGGCAGAUCCCAAGCAGGGCUUGUCUCUGUGUUCCGCACCCUAGGCUCGGCUCCAGAGCCCUGUGGCCGGCCAGGCCGCUUCUCACUGCCACCAUGCCCCUGCUUGGCCUUCCCUCUUUCUGCUGGCUCUGCCGUGAUGCGUUGGCCAGAGUGGGUCCAAAGGAGGCAGGUCAGGAAGUGGUACCAAGCAGGAGCUUCUGCGUGCAGCUGACUCCCCUGUGGUGAGUGGGACCCCGCUGUCCUUCCUUGGAAAGUAGGGGGCCAUGGGAGACCUCAGAGUAAGAAAGGAUAAGGUCAGAACCACAUCGGUGACACUGCUCCAGCACCCCAGUUUAGAUGCCUUUGCCUGGAGGCCUGUACUCCCCCCCCAGGACGGUGCCUCCCGCCAGCAGACUGCCCCCCAGAUGAUUCAUCUCAUCUACCCAUAAUGCACUGUAAUAUGAUGCUCUUUGACCCCCUCUCAGCCUACCCAGGCUGGACAUGGUUUAACAGAGCUGCGGUUCCAUUCAUUACUGGCUCUGAGUGGAAGAGAAGCGGCCUCCCUACCCUGAAGAUACACUGUCCGGAGGCUCACGCCCUUCAGGUCACCCAGCCUUGAGAGCUCUCUGGGGACUUCAAAGGCAACUCUUUUCUCUCUGUCCCCCACCGCCAUCACGCAGCCCUCCAGUGUGAUGCUAAUACCCCCCAUGCCACCCAGCAUUGAUGGAGGACCUGCCAAAAGUGUCGUGCCUAGAGUAAGAAGAAAGGCCAGAUGAGGGGAACAGAAUCACUUCUGUUCCCAGGUUGGGCUAAGGCACAGGGGGUGGUAGUCAUGGUCAAGGAGGGACCAGGAUGCUUGCCUCCCGUUAUUUCUCUCCCACAGCUUGGGCUCUGCAUGGCUUGGGUUGCAGUGAAGCCCCAAACCUCGGGGAGGGUAGGCAGGGACAGGUGCAGGACAGGCCCUUUUGGGGCUGUCGCAAUGGCACACCAGCCUCCUGCUGAUUGCUAACUUGAGUGGCCAAGGAGCUGCUGAGAAUCCCCAAGAGCCAGCUAAAGGGACCCCACAGAAAUGCAAGGUGUGCAUAGGAUCACCCAGUGAAAAGACAGCCAAGACCUUCCAGGGAGUCCUGCUCACCAUACUGUAUCCUGCCGGCUAGGGGCAGAACCCCAAGUGUCGAGAGGCCCCUGUCAAGGUGUGCCUUCUUCAAGGUGCUUCUGAGGGGCUCAGAUGGGGAUGGCCAAAGUGGCCUUCAGUCAUUCUCCCACAGCCAGGUGCAUCCUGGGAACUGACAAGGUUAACUGUGGCCAGGCAGUGACGCUCCUCCACCUUCCCACCUGGUCCAUUCAUCAUGGAUGGGAACAUGAGGCGGGUGCCUGAAACACACUCUCUUCCCAUAGAGGCCUUCCUGCCUUGCUGGCUCUACUUGGACCAUCCUGGGGGAUAUUCCACCUGUUAGUGAAAGGGUCCAGGCUCGAGGCAGGGGAUGGCACACCAGUGGCUCACAUAGAUGUCCUCUGGGGCUGGACAGUGCCUGCCCACCGAGGACCGGGCCACACUAGCGCUCUGGGGCCUUGUUCCCAAGCCACUCUGCCUCAUAGACUCCAGAUCUGGGUACACAGUGUGGACUUAAACCUCAUGGCUCCAUUUUGACCCAGGGUCCUCUGACUUGCUCCUGUGACCCUUGGCAGGGAGGGAGGGAGGGAGGGAGGUGUGGCAUCAUGCAAAGAGCAAAAGCUGCCAGGCCUCCUGGAACCGGGCACAGAGCUUCCCUCUGCAUUGCCGGGCAAACCUGCCUGAGGCCUGUAAGCAGCAGCCCCUUCCCCUCUGAAGGCAGAGCCACCUGGGCCUAGAAACUCAGCCUUCAGAGCCUCAGUUUCUUCACAGUGACCCCACCUCACAGCUGGAGGAUUAGAUGACUCUGCCCAGCCUGGUGCCUGCCUAGGAAAACUGGAAGGAGGCCUGUAGUGGAGUCUCCAAGUCUGUGUUGGUACCGAAGAGCAGGGAGCUCCAGAAGCAUCUUACAAGGCGGGAAGAAUGCUCCGGCACACUGUUACUGCUCAGCUGGGGAGGCUGGAAGCCUUGCUUAUAAGAUGGGCUUAAAUACACUGGCCCAAGGUUCCCCCAGCAAGCUAGUGGCUGUGAGCAGUGUGUACAGGCUGACUGUUGCCCCAGAGUGGAUCUUACCUGUCCCACCUCACGGUGAGCAGUACAGGCCACACCAGGCUGCCUGGCCUUACCAGGGCGUCCUCCCUGCUGGGCUCUGUCCAAGGCUCUGGGAGCCCCAAGCUCAGAGCCAAGCACAGAGCCCCUGCUGGCUUCAGGAAGUGCUAGUCGCCAAGGACAGACUGGCCAUCAGUGUCCAGCCAGGGUCUGCACUUCCGCCCAGCUGGCCGCCAUGGGGAGCUAGGCUGCCUCCCACAAGGAAAAAAAUGGUUUUGAGCCUUCUGCAGCAAGGUCACUUGAGGCCACCCUGAGCGGGGAGGCAGGGACAGACCCAGAGCCCUCAAGGAGGGGCUCUUCCUGUGUAAGAGGAGGAGGGUACAUGCCCAAGGCCUCUUCCUAGCUGGAGUUCUGGUGCCUUCAACUCUAUGCUACAGCUGAGUGUACAGAGGCUGGGUCUCAGGGGUGGGCACUGGAAACCCCCUGGACCUGGCUGGCCUUUGACAAGCGACCACCCUUCCCCCAUUGUGGCCAUUCCUGCCUAGUGACUGGUCAGCUUUCCUCUCUCCUUCCCCACCCCGCCCCCUCACUUCCUUCAUUCUCUCUGCUUGGUGAUUUUGUUUUAAGUGUCCUGGCCCACUUUGGGGGGAAUCCCAGUCCGCCGCUGGCUGAUACCCUCAGCAACGAGCUGGCCAUGUUGGGCCCCUCACCAUACUCCCAGCUCUCCUCCUUCCUCCAGGAGGCAUCUCAAGACGCCGUAACAUCCAGCUCUACACCAAGACUGACUGACGGCCUUUGGGGUGAGGUAGUAGGUUGUAUGGUUUUGGGCUCUGCCCCGCUCUGCGGUAACUAUACAAUCUACUGUCUUUCCUGAAGUGGCCGCAAUAUCUGCAGUGGAUCCGCCGGCCCUGGCUUGGGAGGCUGAGGGAGGUACAGGGGUGGUAGUUGCCAUGCACAAAAAAAGUCCAACAGGGACCUUGGACAGUCCCUUGACCUCCUUGGUCUGUUACUCAUCUGCAAGGGUUGGGGCGUGGGGGUGAAAGCAGACAUGUAGCCUUUCCAGGCACCUCCUCUCCCUUGACCACACCGAAGGGCUUUACUUCCCCUGACCUCAUCAUAUUAGGCCUGGACUCACAGCUCUCCCCGAGGAAAGGGUCUGGGCUGGACCUUCACCUCUGUUCCAGAGUUGCUACACACUCCACACUUGGCACAUGCCCAAGCUUUCCAGCUCAGGGUCAGGUCUCCGAGACAUAGAGACAGGGCAUCUUUUCCAUGAAGGAAAUGGGGGGCAGGGUCUCAGCAUGGCUCAGUACCCUGGGAGCACAACCAUACAACUGGACUGGGUAGGCCACUGUCCCCGGGGUGAUGGGUUCAGACACUGGAGGCUUCCCUCAUCCGUCUGGUGGGUACAGGUCUCUCUGAAUCACUGUCUUCACUCCCCCCCCCCCCCGCCCUGUGCCAGCUGUGCCCUAGGGCUCUGGUGGCCUGUGGCCAGGGUGGGUGGGGAGGGGCUGGGCCUCCUCCAGAACAUGGACCCCGCAGGGUGAGGUAGUAGGUUGUGUGGUUUCAGGGCAGUGAUGUUGCCCCUUAGAAGAUAACUAUACAACCUACUGCCUUCCCUGAGGAGCCCAGGAACACAUCCGCAUGGAGGCCCC
Peromyscus californicus insignis is the source of this 12764-nucleotide long non-coding RNA. RefSeq lists it as uncharacterized. The record is from RefSeq and is a predicted model, not a curated record. The transcript is spliced from 3 exons. NCBI's taxonomy places the organism in Eukaryota, Metazoa, Chordata, Mammalia, Rodentia, Cricetidae.